UACGUAGGGGGCAAGCGUUGUCCGGAAUCAUUGGGCGUAAAGAGCGUGUAGGCGGCCCGGUAAGUCCGCUGUGAAAGUCGGGGGCUCAACCCUCGAAUGCCGGUGGAUACUGUCGGGCUAGAGUGCGGAAGAGGCGAGUGGAAUUCCUGGUGUAGCGGUGAAAUGCGCAGAUAUCAGGAGGAACACCGAUUGCGAAGGCAGCUCGCUGGGACGUAACUGACGCUGAGACGCGAAAGCGUGGGGAGCGAACAGG
RNAcentral lists this ribosomal RNA (253 nucleotides) under uncultured bacterium. Its description in RNAcentral is "partial 16S ribosomal RNA". It matches the Rfam family "Bacterial small subunit ribosomal RNA", at positions 524 to 776 of the family's 1533-position model. The record is from RNAcentral.